GUCUGUAUGGUUAGGUAUAUAGAGUCUAGCCUGCCCACUGAUAUAAAUUGAAGGGCCGCGGUAUUCUGACCGUGCGAAGGUAGCAUAAUCAUUAGUCUUUUAAUUGAAGGCUCGUAUGAAUGGUUGGACAAAAAGUAAGCUGUCUCUACUAUAUAAUUCGAAUUUAACUUUUAAGUGAAAAGGCUUAAAUAACCCGGGGGGACGAUAAGACCCUAUAAAGCUUUACAAUAAAAAAAGAUAUGUUACAAUGUAUUUAAGUAUAACUUGGCUUAUUUAAGAGUUGUUUCGUUGGGGCGACGAGAAUAUAAUUAAAUAACUGUUCUUAAAGAUAAGUGCAGUGAUCGCUGGAAUAAAACUGAUCCUCUAUUAGGGAUUAAAAGAUUAAGUUACUUUAGGGAUAACAGCGUAAUCUUCUUCAAGAGUCCAAAUCGACAAGAAGGGUUGCGACCUCGAUGUUGAAUUAAGGAAUCCUUGUGGUGCAGCAGUUACAAGAGGAAGGUCUGUUCGACCUUUAAAUCCUU
This 521-nucleotide ribosomal RNA is filed under the name Gennadas tinayrei. Its description in RNAcentral is "partial large subunit ribosomal RNA". It matches the Rfam family "Bacterial large subunit ribosomal RNA", at positions 1829 to 2597 of the family's 2925-position model. The record is from RNAcentral. Lineage: Eukaryota; Metazoa; Arthropoda; Malacostraca; Decapoda; Benthesicymidae.